Vigna angularis (adzuki bean) is the source of this 2595-nucleotide long non-coding RNA. RefSeq lists it as uncharacterized. The transcript is spliced from 7 exons. Lineage: Eukaryota; Viridiplantae; Streptophyta; Magnoliopsida; Fabales; Fabaceae. The record is from RefSeq and is a predicted model, not a curated record.
UUGGGGCCCCUCCAAUGGACGUUUAAGAGGCUGAAACAAUUAACUCUUCAACUUCCCUGUUAGCAACUUAAAUGUCCGCUGGGGGGGAUGUCUAUAAUAUUAUACACGUCGGGGCCCCUUCAACGGACGUUUAAGAGGCUGAAACAAUUAACUCUUCAACUACCCUGUCAGCAACUUAAACGUCCAUUGUGGGGGGGACGUCUAAAAUAUUAUACACGUCAGGGCCCCUCCAACGGACGUUUAAAACCCCCCGCGAAUAUCAAUUUUGAAAUCCAAAACACGUCAUAUUAGUUAUGGCUCUGACAUCUAUAAUAUUAUAAACGUCGGGGUCCCCCAGUAUCGGACGUCUAGUGCCAUUUAUACUAAAACGGCGAACCCGCGAGGAGUUAUGCUCACUAUUCAUCGUCUUCCCCGCGAUUUCACUCUGCGGCAUUGCAUUUCUAGGUGUGUUUUCUCUCUUUUGGACCGUUUAAAUUUACUUUCAAUCCGAUUAAAUUGUUCUGUGAUGAAAUAUCUUUGAUUUGAAUCGAUUAAAAAUCGUUUUCAGUGCAUUUUGUUGCAGUUUCUUGCGUGUUCUUAGGCGGUGUUUUUGACUGUUUUUGGCCUACGUUUUAGGUCGUGCCCUCCUCGAUUUCCCUCCGUUUCAUUUGGAAUUUGCUUUUCAGUAUGUCGGCCUCAGACUCAGGAUCGGGACAGACCAGACGUGGUCGAGGCGUCACACGAUUGACAGAUGUGACAUCUGGACGCGUGAAUGGGCAGCGGAGAGAUGUUGACAUCGACCCUAGAUCAAGUCAUCCAUCAGGGCCAAAUGCUGAUAGGUUUAGGAGUUAUCUGGGUAAGUUAGCAAAAAGCCAUGUCUCUAUCCUUCAUGCAACUUGGGAUGACGUCCCAGCGGUCAACAAGAACCUCUUAUGGCAAGAUAUUCAGGUAUGUUUACUUAAAAGAUUUUUGAUAUACUUAUUUCUUUCAUGUUUUCUUAUCAAUAACAUGUUUUUUUGUUUUAAACAACAACAUUAUGAUAUUCCAAACACAAUACAAAUUAGAAAGAAAGUGUUAUUGCAUAUAGCGAUAAGAUUGAGGGAUUUCAAGACAAGGCUGACACGACUAUAUGUCUUUGGAGACAAGCAACAUGAAAAUCCAUGUCAGCAAUAUACCUUCACAGAGGAGGACUGGAUACAAUUUCUUGCAUCUAGAGAGUCUAACGAAUGGAAGGUAAAAGGUUAGCCGCCCAAGAAAUACAAAGGCUAAACGAUGCACCACACUUGUUAUCACGAGGUGGUUAUGCAAAACUGGAAAAGAAAAUUAGAAAGUCUAGAGUGGAUGCCUUGGGACUUGAGUCGUCGAACCUUGCACCUGCACCUGCUAGGUACGAGCUGUGGAAGGCUGCUCGGACUAAAUCUGAUGGGAACAUGACAUCUUCCUCAGCUGCCUUGAUCUCACAAAGAAUUGAUGAGUUGGUUGAGCAGCAGACUCAGGGAACAUUUGCUGGCCAAGGUAGGGACGACAUUCUAACGACGGCCAUUGGAAAGCCCGAGCACCCAGGAUGUGUACGUGGAGUUCCUGGGGCGAUUAGUCUUCAUGACUACUUUGACCCUACACAGAAAACCACAACAUCAAUGAGUCAGGAGACACUAAGGCAGAUGAAUCUUCAGUGGGAGGAAAGACUCAACCAAAGUAUGAGAUCAAUUGAGCAACGAUUCAUGGAGUAGCUACAAUAACAAAAAGAAAUACAAAGAACGCUUGAAGAGAAGCUGCAUUCCAUGACGCAAGGCAACAUGGGGACCGCUGAAACUCCCACACCACCUCGUGUCAGCACUAGAGGAUUAUGCUCUGCCGUAGAACCUACUCAGUAUAACGGUCAAUAUGAGCUGUUGAUUGAUGGAGAUCCCCCACGCAUUGUGGCUGUCGGACGAGUUCUUGAGGGAGGGCAGACUAUUCAUGGUGUUCCCAUAUUACCCCACCACGUGCGUGUGACGAUUGACGAGAUUCGGGAUCCCCAGGCUCAGGUGCCUGUACCCACUCCAGAAAUUAAUUUUGUGGGGGAGGCUAUAGGAUCAUUUAUAGCCUGGCCUAGAGCAUUGAUCAUGUCACACAUUGCUACUCCAUAGCCGAUUCAUGAUACAAUUAUACAUGAAGAUGAUGACAUGGCUGAAGCGGAGGAUGAUCCUCUAUCAAAGCUAAUGACAAGAUUACCCAGGUUGAAGAAAGCACCAUUAGAACUAUACUGGGAUUUGAGACUAUUUGGUCUUCCCCCCCUUGUACCAGUAUAUAUCACAUUGCCUGAUGCAUUGGAGGUGAUUGGGGGAGACAGGAUGUUGAAUAUUUCAAUCAUUCAACUGUGGUGCAUGUACAUGGACACAAUCGUUGUAGACCAAGGUCGGUCUUCCAUGUACGAAUUUGUUGAACCUCAGACCAUUCAACCUUCUUGUAACACACUUGAAAACAGACAACAUUAUUUGCAAACAUGGAUGGAUGAGUCAAAAAGAGACGUAUACCUUGUGCCAUACAUUGAUGGGUCGCACUGGCAGCUGAUGGUCAUCAUUCCCAAACAAUGUAAAAUUAUAUGGUUUUGUUCGUUGCAUAGGAAGAUGAAAA